RNAcentral lists this ribosomal RNA (439 nucleotides) under uncultured bacterium. Its description in RNAcentral is "partial 16S ribosomal RNA". It matches the Rfam family "Bacterial small subunit ribosomal RNA", at positions 338 to 794 of the family's 1533-position model. The record is from RNAcentral.
CCUACGGGUGGCAGCAGUGGGGAAUAUUGCACAAUGGGGGAAACCCUGAUGCAGCGACGCCGCGUGAAGGAAGAAGUAUUUCGGUAUGUAAACUUCUAUCAGCAGGGAAGAAAAUGACGGUACCUGACUAAGAAGCCCCGGCUAACUACGUGCCAGCAGCCGCGGUAAGACGUAGGGGGCAAGCGUUAUCCGGAUUUACUGGGUGUAAAGGGAGCGUAGGCGGUUUAGCAAGUCAGAAGUGAAAGGCGGGGGCUCAACCCCCGGACUGCUCUGGAAACUGUACGGCUGGAGUGCAGGAGAGGUAAGUGGAAUUCCUAGUGUAGCGGGGAAAUGCGUAGAUAUUAGGAGGAACACCAGUGGCGAAGGCGGCUUACUGGACUGUAACUGACGUUGAGGCUCGAAAGCGUGGGGAGCAAACAGGAUUAGAUACCCGGGUAGU